UUGAGAAGGAUCGGUCUGCAUACGCCUGAGCCACUUGGUGUCGUUGAUUAUUCCAAUAGCUGACACAAUCCAUGAUGUAUUUACAUCGACGUUGUACUCUGAUAAUUGAGGUUCUUCUGCGGGAGUGGUAUGAUUGUAGAAUCCGUUUUUACUCAUGAGUCUUUGAGAACUUUGACCUCAAUCAUAUCUUUGAUCAUUCUGAGGAGCGUUACGGCCUGCACCAUUAUUUCUCUAAUCAGCAUACGGCUGAUACCAUUAUUUAGUUGAUCUGGAUUCUCUAUUUGUAUCCCUUGGGAGUCUGGCUGCCGAUCUAUUAGAAUGAAACAAACCCGAGGGAGCUCCCAACUGGUCGUCCUUGACCCUGAUUUUUGAUUGAUAACGGUUGUGCACAUCUGGCCACGUCACAGUUGGAUACUCAAUCAGAUUCUGCUUUAAUUGUCGAGAUGCAACCAAGAUCUUUUCAUUCAAACCCUGAAUAAAAGCUUGUAUUGCUCAGUCAUCCGAGACAGGUGUUAAUUCCAUUCUUUCCAUGUGAAACCUGGACACGAACCCCCUUAAAAUCUCAUCGUUCCUUUGUUUUAUCUUGAACGUUCGAUUUUAUCAUGGCCACCUUUAUGGCCCUGGCG
This 626-nucleotide long non-coding RNA is filed under the name Nicotiana benthamiana. Its description in RNAcentral is "long non-coding RNA (NBEN_LNC013290)". The record is from RNAcentral. Lineage: Eukaryota; Viridiplantae; Streptophyta; Magnoliopsida; Solanales; Solanaceae.